This 235-nucleotide long non-coding RNA is filed under the name Elaeis guineensis (African oil palm). RNAcentral describes it as "long non-coding RNA (EGUI_LNC017920)". Lineage: Eukaryota; Viridiplantae; Streptophyta; Magnoliopsida; Arecales; Arecaceae. The record is from RNAcentral.
AGAUCUGAUCCCAGCUCGAUCUUAUUCGAAAUUUAUAAUAUUUGAUUCAUAUUGAGUCACCUUGAUAGGACCUCUGAUGAUCUCGAUCAUGAUUAUCUUAUCUGAAGGAUACGAAGAUUCUCUCUCCAUUUUCUCUCUCUAAAAUUUUCUCUCUCUUCAUGAAUUUUCUCUCUCUAGAAGUCUUAUGGAUCAGUGGAGAAUCCUGAUACAUAGACAAAUCCUAAUUUUGGUUAAU